Molecule: transfer RNA, 79 nt
Filed under: Thermofilum sp.
Lineage: Archaea; Thermoproteati; Thermoproteota; Thermoprotei; Thermofilales; Thermofilaceae
Description: tRNA-Cys
Rfam family: tRNA
About the family: Transfer RNA (tRNA) molecules are approximately 80 nucleotides in length. Their secondary structure includes four short double-helical elements and three loops (D, anti-codon, and T loops).
Source: RNAcentral
GCCGGGGUGGCCGAGAGGUCCAAGGCGGCGGGCUGCAGACCCGCUAUUAACCCGGGUUCGAAUCCCGGCCCCGGCUCCA